Molecule: long non-coding RNA, 357 nt
Filed under: Callithrix jacchus (white-tufted-ear marmoset)
Lineage: Eukaryota; Metazoa; Chordata; Mammalia; Primates; Cebidae
Description: lncRNA (ENSCJAG00000080149.1)
Source: RNAcentral
AGAAAUCAAGAUUUUCUAUAAAACUGAUGAGAACAAAGAGAGAGCAUACUAGAAUCUCUGGAAUACAGCUAAAACAGUGUUAAGAGGGAUAUUUGUAGUACCAAAUGGCCAUAUUGAACCUCUAGAAUGAUCUCAAGUUAACAAUUUAAUAUCUUGACUAAAAGAACCAGAGAACCAAGUGCAAGCAAACCCCAAAACUAGCAGAUCAGAGCUAAACUGAAAGAGAUAGAGACACACACACACAAACACACACACUAUCUUUAAAUCAUUAUCUCCUGCCACUAUUCACCUGUUAAAAGAAUUAUGUCUUUCUCUGUCAUGGUACCACUCCUAGAGUAUAAGCCCAGUGAGGCUAGG